UGGUAGAUGCACCCUGGUUAAGCCCUAGAAUCAAAUCUGGGGCAUUUUUUA
RNAcentral lists this small RNA (51 nucleotides) under Nostoc sp. PCC 7107. RNAcentral describes it as "Nitrogen stress-induced RNA 1". It matches the Rfam family "Nitrogen stress-induced RNA 1". The record is from Rfam by way of RNAcentral. Lineage: Bacteria; Bacillati; Cyanobacteriota; Cyanophyceae; Nostocales; Nostocaceae.